This 292-nucleotide long non-coding RNA is filed under the name Sus scrofa (pig). Its description in RNAcentral is "lncRNA (ENSSSCG00030053004.1)". The record is from RNAcentral. Lineage: Eukaryota; Metazoa; Chordata; Mammalia; Artiodactyla; Suidae.
UUUCACUGUUCAAUCUCCCCCUCCUCCACCAAGAUCCCAAACAGGUGAUCAAAAUAUUUACCCAAAACCCAGGUCUCUUCCUAGAGGGGAUUUCUCUACUUCCCUGCGCCGCCAGCUCAGGCCCACUCUGAACCCAGCCUGCACUGGAGCCCUCCGGGACGUGCACAGAAGCACCCCAGGCUGUGGCUGGAAGCAGAGGUGUUUUCUAAGGCUCCGGACCUUGAGGACCUUCCAGACAGCAGAUCAGCUCCUCUGAACAAGCUGAUGACUCCAAACCUCAGUCAGCUGCCAG